RNAcentral lists this ribosomal RNA (1017 nucleotides) under uncultured bacterium. RNAcentral describes it as "bacterial SSU rRNA". It matches the Rfam family "Bacterial small subunit ribosomal RNA", at positions 355 to 1375 of the family's 1533-position model. The record is from RNAcentral.
UGAGGAAUAUUGGUCAAUGGACGAGAGUCUGAACCAGCCAAGUAGCGUGAAGGAUGAAGGUUCUAUGGAUUGUAAACUUCUUUUAUACGGGAAUAAACGAAUCCACGUGUGGAUUUUUGCAUGUACCGUAUGAAUAAGGAUCGGCUAACUCCGUGCCAGCAGCCGCGGUAAUACGGAGGAUCCGAGCGUUAUCCGGAUUUAUUGGGUUUAAAGGGAGCGUAGAUGGGUUGUUAAGUCAGUUGUGAAAGUUUGCGGCUCAACCGUAAAAUUGCAGUUGAUACUGGCAGUCUUGAGUACAGUUGAGGUAGGCGGAAUUCGUGGUGUAGCGGUGAAAUGCUUAGAUAUCACGAAGAACUCCGAUUGCGAAGGCAGCUUACUAACCUGUAACUGACAUUGAUGCUCGAAAGUGUGGGUAUCAAACAGGAUUAGAUACCCUGGUAGUCCACACGGUAAACGAUGAAUACUCGCUGUAGGCGAUAUACAGUCUGCGGCCAAGCGAAAGCAUUAAGUAUUCCACCUGGGGAGUACGCCGGCAACGGUGAAACUCAAAGGAAUUGACGGGGGCCCGCACAAGCGGAGGAACAUGUGGUUUAAUUCGAUGAUACGCGAGGAACCUUACCCGGGCUUAAAUUGCAGAUGGAUUACGGUGAAAGCCGUAAGCCGCAAGGCAUCUGUGAAGGUGCUGCAUGGUUGUCGUCAGCUCGUGCCGUGAGGUGUCGGCUUAAGUGCCAUAACGAGCGCAACCCUUGUUGUCAGUUACUAACAGGUUCCGCUGAGGACUCUGACAAGACUGCCAUCGUAAGAUGUGAGGAAGGUGGGGAUGACGUCAAAUCAGCACGGCCCUUACGUCCGGGGCUACACACGUGUUACAAUGGGGGGUACAGAGGGCCGCUACCACGCGAGUGGAUGCCAAUCCCCAAAACCUCUCUCAGUUCGGACUGGAGUCUGCAACCCGACUCCACGAAGCUGGAUUCGCUAGUAAUCGCGCAUCAGCCACGGCGCGGUGAAUACGUUCCC